UCGUCGGUAUGCGCUUUAUCCAUUAAAAAUAAACAUGUUUGCUAAUUCCGCUUAUUAAAAUAUGUGUGCUGUAAUACCCCCCGUAAUUAUGUUGUUCAGAUCGAUAAUAAAGGAUCAGCUCGUUAUUCUAAAUUCGGUUAAAUUUAAACAUUUUUAUUGCUGUUGUUGUUUUGGUUAGCUAAAUUUAGCAAGCGAUGGUAAACAACAUCACAACACGGCUUUAGGUCAGUUUGGUAAACAGCCUAGUCAUUCCGGAUGAAAUCAUAAUGUAUUCCGGUGUUUUAUUUUUAGUAAUAGAGUUGCAUGUUGUCAGGAAUCUCUGGGGAUGAGAUUCCAUAUCAAUGUCUGGGCUGCUCCUUAUCUUCACAUCAGCCUACAAAUAAGUACGUAACAAUUAGCUUUAGCAACUUAGCCGUGUCUCCUUUUACCUGGGGUAAUGGGACAGCUGCUGCGUAGGGCUGAGCGGCGGAGACCAGAGGCUUGGUGGGUGGGGAAACUGUUGGAAAAGCCUGAUGCGAGCUCCUAAGUUGCUCUUGAGAGGAGGGGUCGUGUCCCUGAAAGCUGCAGUGACAAGAAGAGGAGGCUCCACGAUGCUAUUUAUGGACGCCGAGCGACGCCAUGCUAGUCUGAGCAUCCUAAUCCUCAAAGUGUGUGGCUAAAGUGUGAGCCUCCUCAAGUUCCGUCUCCAAGUUGUUAACAUCUUCAAUUAUCUGGGUGACACGAUCAAACUGAGACAGCAGAGCGUUGACACAAGGCAGCAGGUGGUCUAGGAAGGGCUGGACGUCAAAGCCCUGCUCAGAAAGUGAUGAGUCUUCAGACAUGGUAGAAAGCGAUGACGACGGCGGACGAGGAGAGGAAAAGGAAGGAGAUGAGGACGGAGAGCGAGAAGAUGGGAGGGAGGAAAAUAGAGUAGAGAGACGGGACUCUUGAGAAGCCCUGGAAGGAGCAACGUCCAUGCCUUCAAACUUCACCCUGUGCCUGAACUGGAAGUGAAAAGACAUGGCCAGUGUUAUUUAUAUAAAGAGACUCACUUUCAAAGACAGCAAGUCAUAGUAGAAUUAAUACCGGAAUCUACCGUAUUGCAAUACUCACUUCUUUAGCCUUGGUGAGCCCAAUCCCAAGCUUGAAUCUCUUGAUGAAGAAAUCCACCAUCUCAUAGUCCUGAGGUUCUGUCGUUGGACGAUAAAUGCCUGCUUUUUCAGCCCUGAAUAACAGAAUACAAAAACAUAGUUGCCAGUCCAUUACAAGAACAGUAUGGAAACGUUGUUGCUUUUAAAUUGCUGCAUCUUAAAUUGAUGCAUUGCAUCGCUGUAUUUCAAGUCUUACUGGACAAUUAAAUAACUAAAGUCGGUACAGGACAUGUCCAGGGAAAAAAAGCUAGCUUGGUCACCCUAAUGUUGGGAGUAAUGCCAUUAUUGUUUUCCAGUACCCUAGUAUAGCUAUCAGCUAACUACUUAUGUAUGUUUGUAUAGAAUAUCCCAAUGUCAAUAUGCACUGUAAUAUUCACAUAUACUGUAAAUAAAUACGUUUAACUAUAAUUGAA
Non-coding RNA from Doryrhamphus excisus (bluestripe pipefish), 1543 nucleotides. The record is from RefSeq and is a predicted model, not a curated record. Lineage: Eukaryota; Metazoa; Chordata; Actinopteri; Syngnathiformes; Syngnathidae.